Molecule: ribosomal RNA, 465 nt
Filed under: Vreelandella stevensii
Lineage: Bacteria; Pseudomonadati; Pseudomonadota; Gammaproteobacteria; Oceanospirillales; Halomonadaceae
Description: partial 16S ribosomal RNA
Rfam family: Bacterial small subunit ribosomal RNA
Source: RNAcentral
CCUACGGGGGGCAGCAGUGGGGAAUAUUGGACAAUGGGGGCAACCCUGAUCCAGCCAUGCCGCGUGUGUGAAGAAGGCCCUCGGGUUGUAAAGCACUUUCAGUGAGGAAGAACGCCUGGUGGUUAAUACCCAUCAGGAAAGACAUCACUCACAGAAGAAGCACCGGCUAACUCCGUGCCAGCAGCCGCGGUAAUACGGAGGGUGCGAGCGUUAAUCGGAAUUACUGGGCGUAAAGCGCGCGUAGGUGGCUUGAUAAGCCGGUUGUGAAAGCCCCGGGCUCAACCUGGGAACGGCAUCCGGAACUGUCAAGCUAGAGUGCAGGAGAGGAAGGUAGAAUUCCCGGUGUAGCGGUGAAAUGCGUAGAGAUCGGGAGGAAUACCAGUGACGAAGGCGGCCUUCUGGACUGACACUGACACUGAGGUGCGAAAGCGUGGGUAGCAAACAGGAUUAGAUACCCCUGUAGUC